CCCUUAGAUGUCCUGGGCCGCACGCGCGCUACACUGACAUGUUCAACAAGCCUCCUAGUUCGACAGGAUUUGGGAAAUCUUUGAACGCAUGUCGUGAUAGGGAUAGACCAUUGCAAUUAUUGAUCUUGAACGAGGAAUUCCUAGUAAACGCGAGUCAUCAGCUCGCAUUGAUUACGUCCCUGCCCUUUGUACACACCGCCCGUCGCACCUACCGAUUGAAUGUUUCGGUGAAGAUUCCGGAUAGGACUUUUUUGAUUUAUUUCAAUUUUGUCUUAAAAGCUAUCUAAACCUCAACAUUUAGAGGAAGGUGAAGUCGUAACA
RNAcentral lists this ribosomal RNA (321 nucleotides) under uncultured eukaryote. RNAcentral describes it as "partial 18S ribosomal RNA". It matches the Rfam family "Eukaryotic small subunit ribosomal RNA", at positions 1470 to 1796 of the family's 1831-position model. The record is from RNAcentral.